GACGAACGCUGGCGGCGUGCUUAACACAUGCAAGUCGAACGGUAAGGCCCUUUGGGGUACACGAGUGGCGAACGGGUGAGUAACACGUGGGUGAUCUGCCCUGCACUUCGGGAUAAGCCUGGGAAACUGGGUCUAAUACCGGAUAGGACUCCGGACUGCAUGGUCUGGGGUGGAAAGCUUUUGCGGUGUGGGAUGGGCCCGCGGCCUAUCAGCGUGUUGGUGGGGUGAUGGCCUACCAAGGCGACGACGGGUAGCCGGCCUGAGAGGGUGACCGGCCACGCUGGGACUGAGAUACGGCCCAGACGCCUACGGGAGGCAGCAGUGGGGAAUAUUGCGCAAUGGGCGCAAGCCUGAGGCAGCGACGCCGCGUGAGGGAUGACGGCCUUCGGGUUGUAAACCUCUUUCAGCAUCGACGAAGCGAAAGUGACGGUAGGUGCAGAAGGAGGACCGGCCAACUACGUGCCAGCAGCCGCGGUAA
RNAcentral lists this ribosomal RNA (478 nucleotides) under uncultured bacterium. RNAcentral's name for it is "partial 16S ribosomal RNA". It matches the Rfam family "Bacterial small subunit ribosomal RNA", at positions 28 to 523 of the family's 1533-position model. The record is from RNAcentral.